UAAGGAAUAUUGGUCAAUGGACGCAAGUCUGAACCAGCCAUGCCGCGUGAAGGAUGAAGGUCCUCUGGAUUGUAAACUUCUUUUAUAUGGGACGAAACCCCGGUAUUCCUACCAGAUUGACGGUACCAUAGGAAUAAGCACCGGCUAACUCCGUGCCAGCAGCCGCGGUAAUACGGAGGGUGCAAGCGUUAUCCGGAUUCACUGGGUUUAAAGGGUGCGUAGGAGGGCAGGUAAGUCAGUGGUGAAAUCUUCGAGCUUAACUCGGAAACUGCCGUUGAUACUAUCUGUCUUGAAUACCGUGGAGGUGAGCGGAAUAUGUCAUGUAGCGGUGAAAUGCUUAGAUAUGACAUAGAACACCGAUUGCGAAGGCAGCUCACUACACGAAUAUUGACUCUGAGGCACGAAAGCGUGGGGAUCAAA
RNAcentral lists this ribosomal RNA (420 nucleotides) under uncultured bacterium. RNAcentral describes it as "bacterial SSU rRNA". It matches the Rfam family "Bacterial small subunit ribosomal RNA", at positions 355 to 772 of the family's 1533-position model. The record is from RNAcentral.